UACGUAGGUGGCAAGCGUUGUCCGGAAUUAUUGGGCGUAAAGCGCGCGCAGGUGGUUUCUUAAGUCUGAUGUGAAAGCCCACGGCUCAACCGUGGAGGGUCAUUGGAAACUGGGGAACUUGAGUGCAGGAGAGAAGAGUGGAAUUCCACGUGUAGCGGUGAAAUGCGUAGAGAUGUGGAGGAACACCAGUGGCGAAGGCGACUCUUUGGCCUGUAACUGACACUGAGGCGCGACAGCAUGGGGAGCAAACAGG
Molecule: ribosomal RNA, 253 nt
Filed under: uncultured bacterium
Lineage: Bacteria
Description: partial 16S ribosomal RNA
Rfam family: Bacterial small subunit ribosomal RNA
Source: RNAcentral